This 253-nucleotide ribosomal RNA is filed under the name uncultured bacterium. RNAcentral's name for it is "partial 16S ribosomal RNA". It matches the Rfam family "Bacterial small subunit ribosomal RNA", at positions 524 to 776 of the family's 1533-position model. The record is from RNAcentral.
UACGUAGGGUGCGAGCGUUGUCCGGAAUUAUUGGGCGUAAAGAGCUCGUAGGCGGUUUGUCGCGUCUGCCGUGAAAGUCCGGGGCUCAACUCCGGAUCUGCGGUGGGUACGGGCAGACUAGAGUGAUGUAGGGGAGACUGGAAUUCCUGGUGCAGCGGUGAAAUGCGCAGAUAUCAGGAGGAACACCGAUGGCGAAGGCAGGUCUCUGGGCAUUAACUGACGCUGAGGAGCGAAAGCAUGGGGAGCGAACAGG